This is a long non-coding RNA of Oncorhynchus tshawytscha (Chinook salmon), 471 nucleotides long. The record is from Ensembl. Lineage: Eukaryota; Metazoa; Chordata; Actinopteri; Salmoniformes; Salmonidae.
GGAGGCUAUAUACAGGGGUACCGGUACAGAGUCAAUGUGGAGGCUAUAUACAGGGGGUACCAGUACAGAGUCAAUGUGGAGGCUAUAUACAGGGGUACCAGUACAGAGUCAAUGUGGAGGCUAUAUACAGGGGGUACCGGUACAGAGUCAAUGUGGAGGCUAUAUACAGGGGGUACCAGUACAGAGUCAAUGUGGAGGCUAUAUACAGGGGGUACCAGUACAGAGUCAAUGUGGAGACUAUAUACAGGGGGUACCGGUACUGAGUCAAUGUGGAGGUUAUAUACAGGGGGUACCAGGUACAGAGUCAAUGUGGAGGUUAUAUACAGGGGGUACAGGUACAGAGUCAAUGUGGAGGUUAUAUACAGGGGGUACCGGUACAGAGGCAAUGUGGAGGCUAUAUACAGGGGGUACCGGUACAGAGUCAAUGUGGAGGUUAUAUACAGGGGGUACAGGUACAGAGUCAAUGUGGAG